UGAGUACGAGAUGCUACGGCAUCGAAGCAGUGUAUGUCAUACUUCCAAGAAAAGCUCGCAAUGUCAUAAACAAAUAAUGCCUGUACCGUAACCGACACAGGUGGGUAGGUAGAGUAUACUAAGGGGCGCGAGAUAACUCUCUCUAAGGAACUCGGCAAAAUGACUCCGUAACUUCGGGAGAAGGAGUGCCUUAUUUUUAUAAGGUUGCAAUAACAAGAUCCAAGCAACUGUUUACCAAAAACACAGGUCUCCGCUAAGUCGUAAGACGAUGUAUGGGGGCUGACGCCUGCCCAGUGCCAGAAGGUUAAAGAAGUUGGUUAGCAUUAGCGAAGCUGAUAACUGAAGCCCUGGUGAACGGCGGCCGUAACAAUAACGGUCCUAAGGUAGCGAAAUUCCUUGUCGGGUAAGUUCCGACCCGCACGAAAGGCGUAAUGAUUUGGAUACUGUCUCGGAGAGGGGCUCGGUGAAAUAGACUUGUCUGUGAAGAUGCGGACUACCUGCACCUGGACAGAAAGACCCUAUGAAGCUUUACUGUAACUUGAGAAAAUUGGACUUUAUCUGCGCAGUAUAGGUGGGAGGCGUUGAUAAUAUUCUUGCGGGAAUAUUGGAGUCAUCAGUGAGAUACCACUCUUAUAAUGUUAGAUUUCUAACUUUGUAUCAUUAUCUGGUCAAAGAACAGUUUCAGGCGGGCAGUUUGACUGGGGCGGUCGCCUCCCAAACGGUAACGGAGGCGCACAAAGGUUUCCUCUGAACGUGUAGAAAUCGUAUCUAGAGUGUAAAGGCAUAAGGAAGCUUGACUGUGAGACCUACAAGUCGAGCAGGGACGAAAGUCGGUCUUAGUGAUCUGACGGUGCUGAGUGGAAAGGCCGUCACUCAACGGAUAAAAGUUACUCUAAGGAUAACAGGCUGAUCUCCCCCAAGAGUUCACAUCGACGGGGAGGUUUGGCACCUCGAUGUCGGCUCAUCGCAUCCUGGGGCGGUAGUACGUCCCAAGGGUUGGGCUGUUCGCCCAUGAAAGCGGUACGCGAGCUGGGUUCAGAACGUCGUGAGACAGUUCGGUCCAUAUCCGGUGUAGGCGUUAGAAUAUUGAGAGGAGCCUUCUUUAGUACGAGAGGACCGAGAAGGACAUACCUCUGGUGUACCAGUUAUCGUGCCAACGGUAAACGCUGGGUAGCUAUGUAUGGAGAGGAUAACCGCUGAAAGCAUCUAAGUGGGAAGCCCACCUCAAGAUAAGUAUUCUCAC
This 1243-nucleotide ribosomal RNA is filed under the name metagenome. Its description in RNAcentral is "bacterial LSU rRNA". It matches the Rfam family "Bacterial large subunit ribosomal RNA", at positions 1564 to 2817 of the family's 2925-position model. The record is from RNAcentral.